UCAGAUACACCAGAAGAGGGCAUCAGAUCUCUUUACAGAUGGUUGUGAGCCACCAUGUGGUUGCUGGGAUUUGAACUCAGGACCUCUGGAAAAGCAGUCGGGUGCUCUUAACCACUGAGCCAUCUCUCCAGCCCACGGCCUGUCUUUCUAUGGAAGCAGUCCGACUCAGAAGUCAGGUCACUCCCUCCAGAAGAGAGGGGUCCUGGACCCUGAAUAUUUCUGAAGCCAGCUCUAGGGUAAUGGAAACAGAACUUCCCACCCCCUUUUUUGCUAAGGAGUGCUGGGGUUCAUGGCUGGAAGACGGCCUGGUCUUGCCUACCUUACGCAGUCUGUGGAGAGGGGCCUGUAAAAAUGGCGGGCUCUGUUCACAUCAAAUCGGGAAACCCUCCUGACUCCAGAGACCUAGAGGCCAGAGGGGCCUCCAGGGACGAUAAUGAAGGACUCAGGGGAUCUGUGAAGACAAGGGACCUGUUCUCCUGGAAUCUAGGCUACCCCGGCUGUGAGGCCUCUGCCCACAACUUCACAGAUGUCCAUAUCUUCCACAGUGUGGGUUCUAGGCCGCCCUGCUGAAGAUGGAUAGCAAGACCAGCUAUUUCUGGUUCCUGCUUCACUGAUUGGAACUCUGUGGCUGUAGAGCGAUGUGACCUUCAGGCCACCCUUGCCUCUUGAGGAUCAAGAAUUAUGAUGUGCUGAGGACCAAGGAGGUUCACUCUC
RNAcentral lists this long non-coding RNA (714 nucleotides) under Rattus norvegicus (Norway rat). RNAcentral's name for it is "long non-coding RNA NONRATT022744". Lineage: Eukaryota; Metazoa; Chordata; Mammalia; Rodentia; Muridae. The record is from RNAcentral.